RNAcentral lists this unclassified non-coding RNA (198 nucleotides) under uncultured Hygrocybe. RNAcentral's name for it is "partial internal transcribed spacer 2". Lineage: Eukaryota; Fungi; Basidiomycota; Agaricomycetes; Agaricales; Hygrophoraceae. The record is from RNAcentral.
AAUUCUCAACCCUACAAGUUUUUUUCGAACCUGUAUGGCUUGGAUCAUGGGAACUGCGGGCUUGGAUAAAGUCGGCUUUCCUUAAAUGUAUUAGCAGAACUUUUGUUGCUAACCUCUGGUGUGAUAAUUAUCUACGCUAUUGAGAGGCGACAUGUUAAAGUACUGCUUCUAAUCGUCUGUCACGGACAACAUUUGACA